Non-coding RNA from Maylandia zebra (zebra mbuna), 598 nucleotides. The record is from RefSeq and is a predicted model, not a curated record. Lineage: Eukaryota; Metazoa; Chordata; Actinopteri; Cichliformes; Cichlidae.
GCAACUUGUUUCACUUUGACAGUUUGGAUCAGUGUCGGAGUCUGGGUCUUUUCCUGUGUAAUUCAGUGAGUUGCAGAGAGAGAGCACAGUCAACAGAGCUGCAGGAUGGCUCAUCAGCAGGAUGGACUGUUUCCUCAACCACUGCUCAAAGCUUUCAGUGUUCUGAUCUUCCACAUUCUCCUAAAGGAUGUCUGUAAUGGUCAGCCUCAGUUGAUUGGUCCAUCUCAGGCACUGGUGGCAAGAGCUGGUGAUGAUGUAAUUUUGCCAUGUCAUCUGGAACCUGCAUACGAUGUUUCUACAAAGACACUGGAGUGGACAAGAUCUUCGCUUGACCCUAGAUUUGUCUAUGUUUCACGUGCCAGUCAGGAACUCGAAAAAUUAAAAAAUCCUUCUUUCAAAGGAAGGACGUCAUUGUUUGUUGAUGAACUCAAGUAUGGAAAUAUUUCACUGAAAAUAUCCAAAGUGAAAUUUGCCGAUACAGGGACAUACAAAUGCUUUAUUCCAGAUUUGGAAAAAGAAGCUUUAGUCAAGCUAGUUGUUGCAUCAGAUGCUGCCACCUCACCUAUCAUCAGUUUCUCAGGGAUUGACAAAAACAGAG